GAAUGUAUAGCUCAGUGGUAGAGUGCAAGAUUAGCAUAUCUGAGGUCCUGGGUUCAAUCCCCAGUGCCUCCA
Molecule: transfer RNA, 72 nt
Filed under: Camelus bactrianus (Bactrian camel)
Lineage: Eukaryota; Metazoa; Chordata; Mammalia; Artiodactyla; Camelidae
Also listed under: 2 other names
Rfam family: tRNA
About the family: Transfer RNA (tRNA) molecules are approximately 80 nucleotides in length. Their secondary structure includes four short double-helical elements and three loops (D, anti-codon, and T loops).
Source: Rfam by way of RNAcentral